CGAACGGGUGAGUAACACGUGAGUAACCUGCCCUUGACUCUGGGAUAAGCCUGGGAAACUGGGUCUAAUACCGGAUACGACCAUCUGGCGCAUGUCAUGGUGGUGGAAAGCUUUUGUGGUUUUGGAUGGACUCGCGGCCUAUCAGCUUGUUGGUGGGGUAAUGGCCUACCAAGGCGACGACGGGUAGCCGGCCUGAGAGGGUGACCGGCCACACUGGGACUGAGACACGGCCCAGACUCCUACGGGAGGCAGCAGUGGGGAAUAUUGCACAAUGGGCGGAAGCCUGAUGCAGCGACGCCGCGUGAGGGAUGACGGCCUUCGGGUUGUAAACCUCUUUCAGUAGGGAAGAAGCGAAAGUGACGGUACCUGCAGAAGAAGCGCCGGCUAACUACGUGCCAGCAGCCGCGGUAAUACGUAGGGCGCAAGCGUUAUCCGGAAUUAUUGGGCGUAAAGAGCUCGUAGGCGGUUUGUCGCGUCUGCUGUGAAAGACCGGGGCUCAACUCCGGUUCUGCAGUGGGUACGGGCAGACUAGAGUGCAGUAGGGGAGACUGGAAUUCCUGGUGUAGCGGUGAAAUGCGCAGAUAUCAGGAGGAACACCGAUGGCGAAGGCAGGUCUCUGGGCUGUAACUGACGCUGAGGAGCGAAAGCAUGGGGAGCGAACAGGAUUAGAUACCCUGGUAGUCCAUGCCGUAAACGUUGGGCACUAGGUGUGGGGGACAUUCCACGUUUUCCGCGCCGUAGCUAACGCAUUAAGUGCCCCGCCUGGGGAGUACGGCCGCAAGGCUAAAACUCAAAGGAAU
RNAcentral lists this ribosomal RNA (800 nucleotides) under Paenarthrobacter nitroguajacolicus. RNAcentral describes it as "bacterial SSU rRNA". It matches the Rfam family "Bacterial small subunit ribosomal RNA", at positions 99 to 910 of the family's 1533-position model. Lineage: Bacteria; Bacillati; Actinomycetota; Actinomycetes; Micrococcales; Micrococcaceae. The record is from RNAcentral.